AUCGCUUCUCGGCCUUUUGGCUAAGAUCAAGUGUAGUAACUAUGACUCUUCUGGGUCUGUAUCUGAAGGAAAUACCAUGAGCAUGGAAAAGAGAGACCCACACUCCCAUGUUUAUUGUGGUUCUAUUCACAAUAGUUAACGUAUGGAAU
This 149-nucleotide small RNA is filed under the name Marmota monax (woodchuck). The stretch from base 1 to 102 matches the Rfam family "U2 spliceosomal RNA". Rfam says of the family: U2 is a small nuclear RNA (snRNA) component of the spliceosome (involved in pre-mRNA splicing). Lineage: Eukaryota; Metazoa; Chordata; Mammalia; Rodentia; Sciuridae. The record is from RNAcentral.